AUACGUAGGUGGCAAGCGUUGUCCGGAAUUACUGGGCGUAAAGGAUGCGUAGGCGGAUAUGUAAGUCAGAUGUGAAAUACCCGGGCUCAACUUGGGUGCUGCAUUUGAAACUAUGUUUCUUGAGUGUCGGAGAGGAAAGUGGAAUUCCCAGUGUAGCGGUGAAAUGCGUAGAUAUUGGGAAGAACACCAGUGGCGAAGGCGACUUUCUGGACCGUAACUGACGCUGAGGCAUGAAAGCGUGGGUAGC
This 247-nucleotide ribosomal RNA is filed under the name uncultured bacterium. RNAcentral describes it as "partial 16S ribosomal RNA". It matches the Rfam family "Bacterial small subunit ribosomal RNA", at positions 523 to 769 of the family's 1533-position model. The record is from RNAcentral.